This 70-nucleotide transfer RNA is filed under the name Sphaerodactylus townsendi. RNAcentral's name for it is "tRNA-Leu". The record is from RNAcentral. Lineage: Eukaryota; Metazoa; Chordata; Lepidosauria; Squamata; Sphaerodactylidae.
GGAAGGACAGUAGCUCAGCAGUAGAACACUGGCAUGCAGAAGGUCCCAGGUUCAAUUCCUGGUGUUUCCA